Molecule: long non-coding RNA, 6528 nt
Organism: Orcinus orca (killer whale)
Lineage: Eukaryota; Metazoa; Chordata; Mammalia; Artiodactyla; Delphinidae
Exons: 2
Source: RefSeq, a predicted model, not a curated record
UUUUUUUUUUUUUUUUCUUUUUUUGCUGUACGCGGGCCUCUCACUGUUGUGGCCUCUCCCGUUGCGGAGCAUAGGCUCCGGACACACAGGCUCAGCGGCCAUGGCUCACGGGCCCAGCUGCUCCGCGGCACGCAGGAUCCUCCCGGACCGGGGCACGAACCCGUGUCCCCUGCAUCGGCAGGCGGACUCUCAACCACUGCGCCACCAGGGAAGCCCCUCAUUGUAGUUUUGAUUUGCAUUUCUGUAAUGAUUAGUGAUAUUGAGCAUUCUUUCAUGUGUUUGUUGGCAAUCUGUAUAUCUUCUUUGGGGAAAUUUCUAUUUAGGUCUUCUGCCCAUUUUUGGAUUGGGUUGUUUGUUGUUUUGAUAUUGAGCUGCUUGUAUAUUUUGGAGAUUAAUCCUUUCUCAGUUGCUUCAUUUUCAAAUAUUUUCUCCCAUUCUGACGGUUGUCUUUUCGUCUUGUUUAUGGUUUCCUUUGCUGUGCAAAAGCUUUGUAGUUUCAUUAGGUCCCGUUUGUUUAUUUUUGGUUCUAUUUCCAUUUCUCUAGGAGGAGGGUCAAAAAAGAUCUUGCUGUGAUUUAUGUCAUAGAGUGUUCUGCCUAUGUUUUCCUCUAAGAGUUUGAUAGUGUCUGGCCUUACAUUUAGGUCUUUAAUCCAUUUUGAGUUUAUUUUUGUGUGUGGUGUUAGGGAGUGUUCUAAUUUCAUUCUUUUACAUGUAGCUGUCCAGUUUUCCCAGCACGACUUAUUGAAGAGGCUAUCUUUUCUCCAUUGUAUAUUCUUACCUCCUUUAUCAAAGAUAAGGUGACCAUAUGUAUAGUGGAAUAACUGAGGACAUGGAAAGGAGACGUGACCCAUGAGCCCCCCCCCGCCAGCAAACUGGGGGCUGGCGAAUAAGCCAGAACUGCCAAGAGUCCUGAUUGGUUUGAGCCCCCCCCCGGCAAACCGGGGGCAUGCGAAUAAGCCAGAACUGUGAACAGUCCUGAAUGCUUUGAGCUCCCCCCCCACCCACAGCAAACCAGGGGCCUGCGAGUGCUAAGCAUUGAGUGCUUUGGGCACUGAUCCAUGAGAUGUCCUCAGUAUAAUCAGAAUGGUGGGAACGCAAGGAAGUGUCCUUGUGCUACUUCAGUAUAAUCAAAAUAAUGGUGGGAACUUUGUGCUGCUUUUGCGCUCAAGGACGAAGGACGGCAUGUUUUCAAGAAAGCCCUUUAUUGCUUGUAUAAUCAAUAGAAGCAUAUCUUGCUGCUUUGACAUUUCUGAAAUGUUAAGAAAACAAGUCUUAAAAUGUAAACAUAGAUAAUGCUUUAAUAAAAGCUACCGCAGCAGGACAGACGGCGCUGUUUUGCCUGAGCGAGCGGCAGCCCUCUACUGCUGUGCUUCGGCACAAUUCAUCUCGUGUGAUGAGCUUGCUUUCGGCCCUGUCAUAAGAUAAACUACAACACAUAUGUGCAUGGGUUUAUCUCUGGGCUUUCUAUCCUGUUCCAUUGAUCUAUAUUUCUGUUUUUGUGCCAGUACCAUACUCUCUUGAUUACUGUAGCUUUGUAGUAUAGUCUGAAGUCAGGGAACCUGAUUCCUCCAGUUCCAUUUUUCUUUGUCAAGAUUGCUUUGGGGCUUCCCUGGUGGCACAGUGGUUAAGAAUCCACCUGCCAAUGCAGGGGACACGGGUUCAAGCCCUGGUCCAGGAAGAUCCCAUAUGCCACAGAGCAACUAAGCCCGUGUGCCACAACUACUGAGCCUGUGCUCUAGAGCCCACAAGCCACAAAUACUGAACCCACAUGCCACAGCUACUGAAGCCUGUGUGCCUAGAGCCUGUGUUCCUCAACAAGAGAAGCCACCACAGUGAGAAGCCUGUGCACCUCAACAAAGAGUAGCCCCCGCUUGCCGUGACUAGAGAAAGCCUGCACACAGCAAUGAAGACCCAAUGCAGCCAAAAAUAAAUAAAUUAAAUAAAUAAAUUUAAAAAAAAAGAUUGCUUUGGCUCUUUGGGGUCUUUUGUGUUUCCAUACAAACUGUGAAAUUUUUUGUUCUAGUUCUGUGGAAAAUGCCAUUGUUAAUUUGAUAGGGAUUGCACUGAAUCUGUAGAUUGCUUUGGGCAGUAUAGACAUUUUCACAAUGUUGAUUCUUCCAAUCCAAGAAUACGGUAUAUCUCUCCAACUGUUUAUAUCAUCUUUAAUUUCUUUCAUCAGUGUCUUAUAGUUGUCUGCAUACAGGUCUUUUGUUUCCUUAGUAGAUUUAUUCCUAGGUAUUUUAUUCUUUUUGUUGCACUGGUAAAUGGGGGUGUUUCCUUAGUUUCUCUUUCAGAUUUUUCAUCAUUAGUGUAUAGGAAUGCAAGAGAUUUCUAUGCAUUAACUUUGUAUCCUGCUACUUUACCAAAUUCAUUGAUUAGCUCUAGUAGUUUUCUGGUAGCAUCUUAAGGCUCCUCUAUGUAUAGUAUCAUGUCAUCUUCAAACAGUGACAGUUUUACUUCUUCUUUUCUGAUUUGGAUUCCUUUUAUUUCUUUUUCUUCUCUGAUUGCUGUGGGUAAAACUUCCAAAACUAUGUUGAGUAAUAGUGGUGAGAGUGGGCAACCUUGUCUUGUUCCUGAUCUUAGUGGAAAUGGUUUCAGUUUUUCACCAUUGAGAAUGAUGUUGGCUGUGGGUUUGUCAUAUAUGGCCUUUAUUUUGCAUUUAUUGAAAAGCUCUUUCAUUCCCCCACUGAAUUGUGUUAAUAUCUUUGUCAUAAAUAAAGUGAUCAUAUAUAUGUGGUCUGUUUCUGGACUCACUAUUGGAUUCCAUUUCUCUAUCUUUUAUGUCGGUACCACUCUGUCGUAAGUUUACCUUUAUGGUAAAUCUUGAAAUCUGGUAAUCUCACUGGUCUCUAGCCUCAGUUCCACUAUUACCUCACUGGUCCAUUGUCACUGCUGGUUAAUGUAGAUCAAAUUCAUUCCUCGAGGUAUAUUUUUAAUAUUUUUUUUACAGCAUAACUUUCUUAUAAUUGUGAUACAGAAUUAUGCACACACACACACACACACACUUUUUAAAAUAUUUAUUUAUUUAUUUUAUUUUUGGCUGCGUCAGAUCUUAGUUGCAGCACGUGGGCUUAGUUGCCCCACAGCAUGUGGGAUCUUAGUUCCCUGACCAGGGAUCAAACCUGAGUCCCCUGCACUGGAAGGUGGACUCCCAACCACUGGACCACCAGGGAAGUCCCUGACACACACACUUUUUAGCUCUAACUCUGGUUCACAGGAAAUGCAGGGAACACAGGAACAUGUUGAAUGACAGAAAGAGGACUCAACCAGCCAAAUGAAAAUGACAAAUGACUUGGUUUACAAAUUAAUGGCUUUUUUUAAAAGAAAAGGAAGGGGAUCAUUAUAGAUUAAAAGAUAUUUAAGACACUUGUCAACCAAAGGCAAUGGAUGAAGUUUGUUUAUUCUUUUUUCUUUAUUCUGCUCUGCAGUAGUUAUUUCCACUAUUUUAUCUUCCAGGUCACUUAUCCGUUCUUCUGCCUCAGUUAUUCUGCUAUUGAUCCCUUCUAGAGUAUUUUUCAUUUAAUUUACUGUGUUGUUCAUCGUUGCUUGUUUCCUCUUUAGUUCUUCUAGGUCCUUGUUAAAUUUUUCUUGCAUUUUGUCUAUUCUAUUUCCAAGAUUUUGGAUCAUCUUUACUAUCAUUAUUCUGAAUUCUUUUUCAGGUAGACUGCCUAUUUCCUCUUUAUUUGUUAGGUCUGAUGGGUUUUUAUCUUGCUCCUUCAUCUGCCGUGUGUUUUUCUGUCUUCUCAUUUUGCUUAUCUUACUGUGUUUGGGGUCCCCUUUCGCAGGCUGCAGGUUCUUAGUUCCCGUUGUUUUUGGUGUCUGCCCUCAGUGGCUGAGGUUGGUUUAGUGGGUUGUGUAGGCUUCCUGGUGGAGGGGACUGGUGCCUGUGUUCUGGUGGAUGAGGCUGGAUCUUGUCUUUCUGGUGGGCAGGUCCACGUCUGGUGGUGUGUUUUGGGGUGUCUGUGGACUUAUUAUGAUUUUAGGCAGCCUCUCUGCUAAUGGGUGGGGUUGUGUUCCUGUCUUGCUAGUUGUUUGGCAUAGGGUGUCCAGCACUGUAGCUUGCUGGUCGUUGAGUGAAGCUGGGUGUUGGUGUUGAGAUGGAGAUCUCUGGGAGAUAUUCGCCGUUUGAUAUUACGUGGAGCUGGGAGGUCUCUUGUGGACCAGUGUCCUAAAGUUGGCUCUCCCACGUCAGAGGCACAGCACUGACUCCUGGCUACAGCACCAAGAGCCUUUCAUCCACACGGCUCAGAAUAAAAGGGAGAAAAAGUAGAAAGAAAGAAAGAAAGAAAAAAAAGAGGAUAAAAUAAAAUAAAGAUAAAAUAAAGUUAUUAAAAUAAAAAAUAAUUAUUAAGAAAUUUUUUUUAUUUUUAAAGUAAAAACAAACAAACAAAAAAACCGGACGGACAGAACCCUAGGACAAAUGGUGAAAGCAAAGCUAUACAGACAAAAUCUCACACAGAAGCAUACACAUACUCACAAAAGGAGGAAAAGGGGAAAAAAUAAUAUAUCUUGCUCUCAAAGUCCACCUCCUCAAUUAGGGGUGAUUCGUUGUCUGUUCAUGUAUUCCACAGAUGCAGGGUACAUCAAGUUGAUUGUGGAGAUUUAAUCCGCUGCUCCUGAGGCUGCUGGGAGAAAUUUCCCUUUCUCUUCUUUGUUCGCACAGCUCCCGGGGUUCAGCUUUGGAUAUGGCCCCGCCUCUGCAUGUAAAUCGCCGGAGGCCGUCUGUUCUUGGCUCAGACAGGACGGGGUUAAAGGAGCCGCUGACUCGGGGGCUCUGGCUCACUCAGGCCGGGCGGGGUGGGGGGGGAGGGAGGGAGGGAGGGAGGGGCACGGAGUGCGGAGCGAGCCUGCGGCGGCAUAGGCCUGCGUGACGUUGCACCAGCCUGAGGCGCGCCGUGCGUUCUCCCGGGGAAGUUGUCCCUGGAUCCCGGGACCCUGGCAGUGGCGGGCUGCACAGGCUCCCCGGAAGGGAGGUGUGGAUAGUAACCUGUGCUUGCACACAGGCUUCUUGGUGGCGGCAGCAGCAGCCUUAGCGUCUCAUGCCCGUCUCUGGGGUCCGCGCUUUUAGCAGCGGCUCGCGCCGUCUCUGGAGCUCCUUUAAGCCGCGCUCUUAAUCCCCUCUCCUCGCGCACCAGGAAACAAAGAGGGAAGAAAAAGUCUCUUGCCUCUUCGGCAGCUCCAGACCUUUUCCCGGACUCCCUCCCGGCUAGCCAUGGCGCACUAACCCCUUCAGGCUGUGUGCACGCCGCCAACCCCAGUCCUCUCCCUGGGAUCCGACCGAAGCCCGAGCUUCAGUUCCCAGCCCCGCCCGCCCCGGCGGGUGAGCAGACAAGCCUCUCGGGCUGGUGAGUGCUGGUCGCACCGAUCCUCUGCGGGAAUCUCUCCGCUUUGCCCUCCGCACCCCUGUUGCUGCACUCACCUCCGCGGCUCCCGUGAAGUUUGUUUAGAUCUGGAUCCAAACACAGUAAUAAGACAUUUUUGAGACAGUCAGAAAAGUUUCAACACAGACUUCUGAUAGACGAUAUUAACAUAUUAUUAUAAAAUUGUCUUAGAUAUUUAUGUGGUUAUAUUUUUAUUAAUUCCUCAUCCAUUAGAGAUACAGAAUUCAUGCACGGAAAAAUUUGCUGUCUGAGAUUUGCAUAAAGUAAAAAGGGGGAAGAUGAGGGGCAUAGAUGAAAGAAGAAUGGGGACAUUUUGAAAUUAUUGAAUUGCGUGAUGGGCAUUUUCUACACUCUCUAUUUUAUGUAUAAAAUGUUUAGUUUGUUUUUAAAGAAACUUCUACACCUGUCCAGGUGGAGAUGGUGGUGACUUGGACAGAAUGGUUAUGGUAAAGGAAGGAGAGAAGAUCAGAUUCAGGGUAUAUUUUCUAGGUAAAGCUGACAACUUGCUGGUGGAUAAAAUGUAAAAGAAAGAAUCAAGGCAAAACCUGGUCCAGUGACCACCACCCAUUCAAGCUGUAUAAAAUAAGGCUGGAGGGCUUCCCUGGUGGCGCAGUGGUUGAGAGUCCGCCUGCCGAUGCAGGGGACACGGGUUCGUGCCCUGGUCCGGGAAGAUCCCACAUGCUGCGGAGCGGCUGGGCCCGUGAGCUGUGAUCGCUGAGCCUGUGCGUCUGGAACCUGUGCUCCGCAACGGGAGAGGCCACAGCAGUGAGAGGCCCGCGUAUGGCAAAAAAAAACUGGUUAGAACUAGUUAGGUCCAAGAUGGCGGAAGAUUCAACUUCCAGUAGACCCUGAGCCUCAUUCUAUGCUCAUUGUAAUACAUUAGCAUAUGCUAAAUGACACACCCACAGGGGCCACGACAGUUCCGAGGCUGACCAUAAAAGCCCAAAAAGGGCGAUGGUCCAGUUCCUAGAAAUCUCUGUCCCUUCUCCAAAAUAGGUGGAAUAAUCCUCCCACUUCUUAGCCUGUGAAAUUUCCCAGCCCAUAAAAACUAACCACCCCAUAUCUUGGGGCCACUCUCACCUUCUGAGAUGGUCUGCAUCCUGCCUAUGGAAUGUGUAUCUCUCUAAAUAAACUUGCUUUCACUUUA